AUAUUACUCCCUCCAUCCCAUAUUAAGUGACUCAAAUUUGUCUAAAAAUGGACGUAUCUAUAUACUAAAAACCGUCCAGAUACAUGUAAUAGAAAGUCACUUAAUAUGGGAUGGAGGGAGUAUAUA
Brachypodium distachyon (stiff brome) is the source of this 126-nucleotide non-coding RNA. NCBI's taxonomy places the organism in Eukaryota, Viridiplantae, Streptophyta, Magnoliopsida, Poales, Poaceae. The record is from Rfam.